UUACCCUAAUGGAGCUAACGUAGGGAAUUGAAACAUCUUAGUACCUACAGGAAAAGAAAUCAAUAGAGAUUACGCUAGUAGCGGCGAGCGAAAGCGUAAGAGGGCAAACCCAGUGCUUGCACUGGGGGUUGUAGGACUGCAAUAUGGACUUAAAAGAGAUAGUAGAAUUUGCUGGAAAGCAAAAGCGUAGAGGGUGAUACUCCCGUAUAUGAAAUCUUUUUUAUACCUAGCAGUAUCCUGAGUAGGGCGAGACACGUGAAAUCUUGUCUGAAGCUGGGUAGACCACUAUCCAACCCUAAAUACUACUAUUUGACCGAUAGUGCACAAGUACCGUGAGGGAAAGGUGAAAAGAACUGAGGUGAUCAGAGUGAAAUAGAACCUGAAACCAUUUGCUUACAAUCAUUCAGAGCACUAUGUAGCAAUACAGUGUGAUGGACUGCCUUUUGCAUAAUGAGCCUGCGAGUUGUGGUGUCUGGCAAGGUUAAGCAAACGCGAAGCCGUAGCGAAAGCGAGUUUUAAUAGAGCAUUAAGUCAGAUGCUGCAGACCCGAAACGAAGUGAUCUAUCCAUGAGCAGGUUGAAGCUAGUGUAAGAGCUAGUGGAGGACCCAACCGACGGCCAUUGAAACGGCUCCGGAUGACUUGUGGAUAGGGGUGAAAGGCCAAUCAAACUUCGUGAUAGCUGGUUCUCUCCGAAAUAUAUUUAGGUAUAGCGUUGUGUAGUAGCUAUAAGGGUAGAGCACUGAAUGGGCUAGGGCAUACACCARUGUACCAAACCCUAUCAAACUCCGAAUACUUAUAGUGUAAUCACAGCAGUCAGGCGGCGAGUGAUAAAAUCCGUCGUCAAGAGGGGAACAACCCAGACUACCAGCUAAGGUCCCUAAAUCUUAUUUGAGUGGAAAACGAUGUGAAGUUACUUUAACAACCAGGAGGUUGGCUUAGAAGCAGCCAUCCUUUAAAGAAAGCGUAAUAGCUCACUGGUCUAGUGAUUUUGCGCGGAAAAUAUAACGGGGCUAAAAUAAGUACCGAAGCUGUAGACUUGCACUUAACUCUAAUUAUUUAAUAAAAAGCUUUACUUUAAAGUCUUAUUCUUUAAAAUACUAAGAGCUAGAAUAAAUAAAAAGUACUUAGAGUUAAGUGCAAGUGGUAGGAGAGCGUUCUAUAUGCGUUGAAGAUGUACCGGUAAGGAGCGUUGGAGCGUAUAGAAGUGAGCAUGCAGGCAUGAGUAGCGAUAAUUAAUGUGAGAAUCAUUAACGCCGUAAACCCAAGGUUUCCUACGCGAUGCUCGUCAUCGUAGGGUUAGUCGGGUCCUAAGCAAAGUCCGAAAGGGGUAUGCGAUGGAAAAUUGGUUAAUAUUCCAAUACCAACAUUAUUGUGCGAUGGAAGGACGCUUAGGGCUAAGCAAGCUAGCUGAUGGAAGUGCUAGUCUAAGGUCGUAGGUGCUUAUACAGGAAAAUCCGUAUAAGAAUACACCGAGAACUGAUGGGAUUUUUGAAGUCUUCGGAUGGAAGAAAGAUUUGCUGAUGCCGUCGAGCCAAGAAAAGUUUCUAAGUUUAGAUAAUGUUGCCCGUACCGUAAACCGACACAGGUGGGUGGGAUGAGUAUUCUAAGGCGCGUGGAAGAACUCUCUUUAAGGAACUCUGCAAAAUAGCACCGUAUCUUCGGUAUAAGGUGUGGUUAGCCUUGUAUUAGGAUUUACUCCGAAAGCAAGGAAACUUACAACAAAGAGUCCCUCCCGACUGUUUACCAAAAACACAGCACUCUGCUAACUCGUAAGAGGAUGUAUAGGGUGUGACGCCUGCCCGGUGCUCGAAGGUUAAUUGAUGGGGUUAGCAUUAGCGAAGCUCUUGAUCGAAGCCCGAGUAAACGGCGGCCGUAACUAUAACGGUCCUAAGGUAGCGAAAUUCCUUGUCGGUUAAAUACCGACCUGCAUGAAUGGCGUAACGAGAUGGGAGCUGUCUCAAAGAGGGAUCCAGUGAAAUUGUAGUGGAGGUGAAAAUUCCUCCUACCCGCGGCAAGACGGAAAGACCCCGUGGACCUUUACUAUAGCUUGACACUGCUACUUGGAUAAGAAUGUGCAGGAUAGGUGGGAGGCUUUGAGUAAUAGACGCCAGUUUAUUAUGAGCCACUGUUGAGAUACCACUCUUUCUUAUUUGGGUAGCUAACUAGUAUGAGUUAUCCUCAUAUAGGACAAUGUCUGGUGGGUAGUUUGACUGGGGCGGUCGCCUCCCAAAAAAUAACGGAGGCUUACAAAGGUUGGUUCAAAACGGUUGGAAAUCGUUUGUAGAGUAUAAAGGCAUAAACCAGCUUAACUGCAAGAUAAACACAUCAAGCAGAGACGAAAGUCGGUCUUAGUGAUCCGGUGGUUCUGUGUGGAAGGGCCAUCGCUCAAAGGAUAAAAGGUACCCCGGGGAUAACAGGCUGAUCUCCCCCAAGAGCUCACAUCGACGGGGAGGUUUGGCACCUCGAUGUCGGCUCAUCGCAUCCUGGGGCUGGAGCAGGUCCCAAGGGUAUGGCUGUUCGCCAUUUAAAGCGGUACGCGAGCUGGGUUCAGAACGUCGUGAGACAGUUCGGUCCCUAUCUGCCGUGGGCGUAAGAAGAUUGAAGAGAUUUGACCCUAGUACGAGAGGACCGGGUUGAACAAACCACUGGUGUAGCUGUUGUUCUGCCAAGAGCAUCGCAGCG
Molecule: ribosomal RNA, 2683 nt
Filed under: Campylobacter canadensis
Lineage: Bacteria; Pseudomonadati; Campylobacterota; Epsilonproteobacteria; Campylobacterales; Campylobacteraceae
Description: bacterial LSU rRNA
Rfam family: Bacterial large subunit ribosomal RNA
Source: RNAcentral